This 301-nucleotide ribosomal RNA is filed under the name uncultured bacterium. RNAcentral describes it as "partial 16S ribosomal RNA". It matches the Rfam family "Bacterial small subunit ribosomal RNA", at positions 509 to 809 of the family's 1533-position model. The record is from RNAcentral.
CAGUAGCCGCGGUAAGACAGAGGAUGCAAGCGUUAAUCGGAAUUACUGGGCGUAAAGCGCGCGUAGGUGGUUUGGUAAGAUGGAUGUGAAAUCCCCGGGCUCAACCUGGGAACUGCAUCCAUAACUGCCUGACUAGAGUACGGUAGAGGGUGGUGGAAUUUCCUGUGUAGCGGUGAAAUGCGUAGAUAUAGGAAGGAACACCAGUGGCGAAGGCGACCACCUGGACUGAUACUGACACUGAGGUGCGAAAGCGUGGGGAGCAAACAGGAUUAGAUACCCGAGUAGUCCCUGUCUCUUAUAA